GUGGGGUAAUUUUUCCGCAAUGGGCGAAAGCCUGACGGAGCAAUGCCGCGUGGAGGUGGAAGGCCUACGGGUCGUCAACUUCUUUUCUCGGAGAAGAAACAAUGACGGUAUCUGAGGAAUAAGCAUCGGCUAACUCUGUGCCAG
RNAcentral lists this ribosomal RNA (144 nucleotides) under uncultured bacterium. RNAcentral's name for it is "partial 16S rRNA". It matches the Rfam family "Bacterial small subunit ribosomal RNA", at positions 352 to 511 of the family's 1533-position model. The record is from RNAcentral.